RNAcentral lists this ribosomal RNA (776 nucleotides) under uncultured Neocallimastigales. RNAcentral describes it as "partial large subunit ribosomal RNA". It matches the Rfam family "Eukaryotic large subunit ribosomal RNA", at positions 26 to 643 of the family's 3401-position model. The record is from RNAcentral. Lineage: Eukaryota; Fungi; Neocallimastigomycota; Neocallimastigomycetes; Neocallimastigales.
CGUCUAUAUACGUAUAGCAUAUCAAUAAGCGGAGGAAAAGAAACUAACAAGGAUUCCCUUAGUAACGGCGAGUGAAGCGGGAAGAGCUCAAAUUUGAAAUCUUCAAGGUUUUACCUUGACGAACUUGUAGUUUAUAGAAGUGUUUUCUGUAGUGGAGUUCGGUAAAAGUUCUUUGGAAUAGGACAUCAUAGAGGGUGAGAAUCCCGUAUUUGACCGUUAUUCUCUAGCUGUGUGAUACACUUUCAAAGAGUCGGAUUGUUUGGGAAUGCAGUCCAAAAUGGGUGGUAAAUUUCAUCUAAAGCUAAAUAUUGGCGAGAGACCGAUAGCGAACAAGUACCGUGAGGGAAAGAUGAAAAGAACUUUGAAAAGAGAGUUAAACAGUACGUGAAAUUGUCAAAAGGGAAGCGUUUGACACCAGUGUUGUUUUCUCGAAAAUCAAUUAAAAAUGGCUUGAUUUUGUGUUGUAUUGACCUUAAAAGCUUUCUUCACUUUUUUCAUGUCUUUUUUAAUGCACUCUUCGUUUAACAAGUCAACAUCAGUUUCUUUUGUUGUAAAAAGGUCAUUGGAAGGUGGCUUUCUUUUCGGAGAAAGUGUUUAUAGCCUUUGACUUCUGCAAUCGGAGAGACUGAGGUCUGCAGCGUAGAUCCUUCUGGAUUAGAUUCAUUUGUGCUAAGUUACAACCGUUUAUAGACAACUUGUUGACUAUAGGCGAUCCUGUAGCUUACUCGCUUAUGUAAUUUUACCUACGCUUAGGAUGUUGACUGAUAUGUAGUCGU